CAGGCUUAACACAUGCAAGUCGAGGGGCAGCAUUUUAGUUUGCUUGCAAACUAAAGAUGGCGACCGGCGCACGGGUGAGUAACACGUAUCCAACCUGCCGAUAACUCGGGGAUAGCCUCUCGAAAGAAAGAUUAAUAUCCGAUGGUAUAUUAAAACCGCAUGGUUUUACUAUUAAAGAAUUUCGGUUAUCGAUGGGGAUGCGUUCCAUUAGUUUGUUGGCGGGGUAACGGCCCACCAAGACUACGAUGGAUAGGGGUUCUGAGAGGAAGGUCCCCCACAUUGGAACUGAGACACGGUCCAAACUCCUACGGGAGGCAGCAGUGAGGAAUAUUGGUCAAUGGACGAGAGUCUGAACCAGCCAAGUAGCGUGAAGGAUGACUGCCCUAUGGGUUGUAAACUUCUUUUAUAUGGGAAUAAAGUAUUCCACGUGUGGGAUUUUGUAUGUACCAUAUGAAUAAGGAUCGGCUAACUCCGUGCCAGCAGCCGCGGUAAUACGGAGGAUCCGAGCGUUAUCCGGAUUUAUUGGGUUUAAAGGGAGCGUAGGUGGAUUGUUAAGUCAGUUGUGAAAGUUUGCGGCUCAACCGUAAAAUUGCAGUUGAAACUGGCAGUCUUGAGUACAGUAGAGGUGGGCGGAAUUCGUGGUGUAGCGGUGAAAUGCUUAGAUAUCACGAAGAA
This 675-nucleotide ribosomal RNA is filed under the name uncultured bacterium. RNAcentral's name for it is "bacterial SSU rRNA". It matches the Rfam family "Bacterial small subunit ribosomal RNA", at positions 43 to 706 of the family's 1533-position model. The record is from RNAcentral.